This 24-nucleotide microRNA is filed under the name Oryza sativa (Asian cultivated rice). RNAcentral's name for it is "osa-miR1423-5p". RNAcentral also lists the same sequence under 1 other name. Lineage: Eukaryota; Viridiplantae; Streptophyta; Magnoliopsida; Poales; Poaceae. The record is from miRBase by way of RNAcentral.
AGGCAACUACACGUUGGGCGCUCG